ACCACCAACCACCUCAGUCCUCACUCUGACACACAUCGCUACAGGUGUGGCUCCCUUUUCCAAUGAAGACACAGUGGGAGUACACUAAUAAAGAUCUGCAAGAGACAACCAUUCAACCUUCAAGUGCUCACUGGAUUAUAUGAAACGUCAGAAGACCAGGGGACUUUACAUGGGAUAUCAUAUAACACUUGACUGCUGAGGAAUUCCACAAGUUAAAAGGGAGUAUUCUUGGAGCCAGUUCAAGUCACCAGAGGAAACUAGAACAAACGUUGACAGCAAAGCUUCAGAUCUGAGCCUCAAUACCCUGUCUGAGAUCCAACACAUCAAACCAAAAGCCUGUCAAGAGAUUGACAGCCACAGACUCUAUCUGCCUGUGUUUUGUAUUCUCAGCCUUCCAUAAUCAGUCAGUCAUAAUGAAUUCGUCUCUGGAAAACCCUUAUGGAGACGUGACCAUCCCUCGGGCCAAGCUACAUUCUGCAGAGGACAGCACGAUCAUCAUCAACCCCAUCGCUCUGGACAGUACCUACAGCAACCGCAAUUACUCCCUUAACCCCUACGGUGCCUUUAAACCCGGGGGGCAGUCGCCAUUCCCCUCAGAAGGUACCAACAAUGGAGAUGGUGGCGCCUCAAACACCCCUUGUUAUGACGGCCAGACCUCCUACACAGUGAAGGAGGACACGGAAGAGGAGUUUGGACGCUGUCGUACCUGCUGCUUUCGCUGCCGACGGAAGUAAACCGGCAACAUAGGCCCAGAUCAGGAAAUAGUCCUACAACUCCCCGGCCACAUAGGAUUCUGGGUAUAUGAACUAAGACAAUCAAGGGACACUGUCUGAAGACACUGUCCAAUCUAGUGUUACCAGCUGGUUUAAAAGCCAAAAGCCGUUACUGGCUAAACAUGUAUAGUUUUUUAAGGAUUCAUCAGUGGUAUCAUUUAAAUUGUAUGCAAUUCCAAAAUGGAUUCUUCUUGCAAAAUGCCCUCACAGCCAGCAUGGCAGAAUCUACCUUUGAAACAGAGGUCUUUCACAUAAUCUUUUCACUUAUGACUUUGUACGCUUACUUUUUUUCUUCUUGUCGAACACGACUGCCCUAUAUUUAGCUAUGGAAAUAUUUUUUGCUUUAUUUAUACCCUAAUGCCUUUGUGCCUGAUUUUGUUUUUGUCUGUCAGUGUUUGAAUGAUGUGAAACGGACUUCACUUAGCCAGUUUUCAGGGAGUGUUAGAGAGUAUGACAAGUGCUACAGUAGACCGAUGUCAAGGAAUUAGAAUGUGAAUAGCACUUUACAUCUUCUCUUAAACUGACCCGUCACAAAAGAUGACAUUCAGGCCUUUGGCUUGGCACUGACAGACUUGGCCAAACCAGUGAGGUGAAACUAGAGGGGCAGCUAGCUUAGAAGCUGGUUCAGUUUUCAUGGGCCUUACUGAUCAGUCCAGUUUCCCCACCCCAACCCAUUCCACACCAUAACACACCACUCCAUCCUGCUUAUCCAUCUGCUGGGCUGGUCCCUCUGCUGCUGAGGGUUUACAAUGCUGCCUUUGUGCAACUAGGUCCCAGGAAACCAGGCCACAGGUCCUGCAGCCCAACCCCAGUCAUUCUUCUCUGUGUAUGUGGUAGACAGCACCUUACUGUCCCUCCUGGACAAAAAUAGUUGAAACAAGAGGAAUCAAUUCAUCUGACUGGAUGAGAAUUUAAAUGUAAUGUGAUCACACACAUGCUGUCUUAUUUGUUUGAGACAAAACCAUCCAUAGUUUAGCCUUGUGAAACCAUUACUAAAAUUCUACUCUGCAUCGUUAGCUUAUAGAAAUUAUCUUUCAUUUUUAGCAAGCUACUACAGCAUAUCAGGGUCACCUCAUCAUGAACUGGUUCCAUGUGUGAAAGCCUCUCUUUGUUUUUUUUACCUUUUUUUAACUAGGCAAGUCAGUUAAGAACAAAUUCUUAUUUUCAAUGACGGCCUAGGAACAGUGAGUUAACUGCCUUGUUCAGGGGCAGAACGACAUAUUUUUACCAUGUCAGCUCGGGGAUUUGAUCUUGCAACCUUUUGGUUACUAGUCCAACGCUCCAACCACUAGACCCUAAGCCCCCAACAGAAUUACAUGGCAACACAUGCAUGAGUAUGAAUUGCUACUUUCUCUCCAGUCAGCAGUGGACUACAACUACUCAGGUGACUAGGACCCAAAGUUAAAGAUCCAGUCAAAUUCAUAACAUAUUGUACGAAUCAGAACAUAAUUUUCUUGUAUUCUUAUUUUUUUUGCAAUUCGUAACAUAUCACACAAAAUUAAUGACAUAGUACAAAAUUGUGUAAAAUAAAAUUGGGGACCCGUUUUGGCUCGUGAGCACUA
Long non-coding RNA from Oncorhynchus nerka (sockeye salmon), 2335 nucleotides. RefSeq lists it as uncharacterized. The record is from RefSeq and is a predicted model, not a curated record. The transcript has 2 exons. NCBI's taxonomy places the organism in Eukaryota, Metazoa, Chordata, Actinopteri, Salmoniformes, Salmonidae.